Molecule: ribosomal RNA, 243 nt
Filed under: uncultured bacterium
Lineage: Bacteria
Description: partial 16S ribosomal RNA
Rfam family: Bacterial small subunit ribosomal RNA
Source: RNAcentral
AGGGUGCAAGCGUUGUCCGGAAUUAUUGGGCGUAAAGAGCUCGUAGGCGGUUUGUCGCGUCUGCUGUGAAAUCUGGUGGCUCAACCAUCAGCGUGCAGUGGGUACGGGCAGACUAGAGUGCGGUAGGGGAGAUUGGAAUUCCUGGUGUAGCGGUGGAAUGCGCAGAUAUCAGGAGGAACACCGAUGGCGAAGGCAGAUCUCUGGGCCGCUACUGACGCUGAGGAGCGAAAGCAUGGGGAGCGA